GUCUCUUCUUUAGAAAAGCUCCAGGACGAGACGAUGACGAUGACGAUGACGUCCUACGCUCUCUCUUCAUCUUCCUUCUGCCGCAAUUCUCGCAUCCCUGCUAUCAGUUCCCGUGUUCAUCCUCAUCUUAAUGUCAGUAACAAGCUCACACUUUCUUCACCGCAGUUUCUGAACGCCGGCGUGCGCCUCCGCGGUUUAUCGGUUCCGGGGAAGUUUCCGAAUGCAAAACUUAGGGUAAGAUGCGAGAAAGAGGAUACAAUAAAGGGUGAGACAGAGGAUGAGGCGGAGCGAUUCGCGAGACGAGAGAGCACUAUGCCUGAUAGAUUCAGACACUUGACCAAAGAAGCACCCGACACUCCUGUUAGAUGGCCCUGGUUUAUCGCGUUAGCGUUUCUUGUUUAUGCGUGGAGAGCUGUCUUGUUUGAGCUAUCAAACUGGAGAAAUGCUGUUUUCGCCAUCGUUAGGUUUCUCGGAGACCUUUCGAAGUUCGCGUUGGCACUCGUCUUCCACUUUAUAGGAGAUCCCAUCACAUCUCUCAUCGCCCUCGUGGAAACAGCAAUCUACAGCGUCCGGGCCUUCUACUCGGGGAUCGUGGCUUACACGCCGGUGAGAGAGUUAACCACUGUGAUCCUUCUCGCAUCAUCCGUGCUUGCGAUAGGAGAAGCUGUUGCGCCAAACUCGAUCAGCAAGCAGCCGUAUGUGGUAACUCUUGCGGGUCUAGUGGGGUAUGCAGCUGUGCAGGGGUACAUCUCGGAGCCGUUCUUCUGGACCGUCUUGGUGGGUAUGUAUGGGUAUUCGCGGUUGGUAAAGAAGAGGGACGAUGUGACCUCGGCGUUACCUUCUGCGGCUGUUCUGGCGGGUGUAGGGGAGCCGUGGGUGAGAGUGGUGGCUAUCGCAGGGUAUUUGGCUCUAGCCAUGUAUCAUAAUUCAACUAAGAAGAGCUCAUCUGAAGAAGAGGAGGGACAGAUCGUGAGGAAGGCACCACCUGUGCCGUUGUUGGCUGCAGCUUUGGCUAUUGGGGUAAGGCUUGCUGCUAAAUGGGCUGGUUACAGGCACUUGACUUGGAUGAUUGUUUAAAUUCUCUGCCACUUAAAGACCAAACAAAACUAGUUUGUGUUGUACUUUAUAACCUCUACCCACUGCUAAACUAUUAGGGCGCAAGGAGUACUAGUCAUAGAGGCACGGAUAGAUUGAAUUAGUGGCGGUGUUUAUACGUGGAGGCACACUAUGUUUAUCAUAUAGUUUAGCCUCUAAAAGUAUCACCUAAACUCCACUUGUUUUCUUAUCUACCGCUUUGAAGUUUCUCUGGGGUCAAGAUCUCUGGGUUCGGUAAAGAUUUAUCAACAAUCAUUUGUAACAUUUGGAAUCCAUAAAUAAUAAAAAUGGACUCCUCUUC
Molecule: RNA transcript, 1396 nt
Organism: Brassica napus (rape)
Lineage: Eukaryota; Viridiplantae; Streptophyta; Magnoliopsida; Brassicales; Brassicaceae
Exons: 3
Source: RefSeq, a predicted model, not a curated record